Molecule: ribosomal RNA, 426 nt
Filed under: uncultured prokaryote
Description: bacterial SSU rRNA
Rfam family: Bacterial small subunit ribosomal RNA
Source: RNAcentral
UGGGGAAUUUUCCGCAAUGGGCGCAAGCCUGACGGAGCAACGCCGCGUGAGGGAGGAAGGCCUGUGGGUCGUAAACCUCUUUUCUCAGGGAAGAAGAUUUGACGGUACCUGAGGAAUCAGCAUCGGCUAACUCCGUGCCAGCAGCCGCGGUAAGACGGAGGAUGCAAGCGUUAUCCGGAAUUAUUGGGCGUAAAGCGUCCGUAGGUGGCUUGUUAAGUCUGCUGUUAAAGCCCACAGCUCAACUGUGGAUCGGCAGUGGAAACUAUCAGGCUAGAGUGUGGUAGGGGUAGAGGGAAUUCCUAGUGUAGCGGUGAAAUGCGUAGAUAUUAGGAAGAACACCAGUGGCGAAGGCGCUCUACUGGGCCAUAACUGACACUGAUGGACGAAAGCUAGGGGAGCGAAAGGGAUUAGAUACCCCCGUAGUCC